GGAGCAAAGCAAUAUCUUCCCCCUUCUAUUCCUCAUCCUGGGAGGGAGAGAGAAGAGGGAAGGCACUGUACACUUGUACCAACUGGCGGCGGAUAGUGUGAAUGCAAGUGAAGGGGUUUCAGAUUCUCUCUCUCUCUCUCGAGGCUUUCUGAUCCUCAUGGCAUUUAUCAGAACUGGAACGUGAAAAGGAUUCUGUAUCUUCUGCCUGACAAAAGAAGUUGUGAGAGAGCAUUAGGGGGUUGGAUGAGAAUUUGAUGAUGUUGGCAGCAUUUCUCCAGCAAAGAGAAGUGGAGGUGGAGACCAUGGAUGAUGGUGAGAACACUCAAACAACCCACCGUGGAGUUUGCAUUGCUGACAGAAAGCAGUUUGUGUUCAGCAGC
Chiloscyllium plagiosum (whitespotted bambooshark) is the source of this 380-nucleotide non-coding RNA. The record is from RefSeq and is a predicted model, not a curated record. Lineage: Eukaryota; Metazoa; Chordata; Chondrichthyes; Orectolobiformes; Hemiscylliidae.